This 507-nucleotide ribosomal RNA is filed under the name uncultured bacterium. RNAcentral's name for it is "partial 16S ribosomal RNA". It matches the Rfam family "Bacterial small subunit ribosomal RNA", at positions 28 to 506 of the family's 1533-position model. The record is from RNAcentral.
GACGAACGCUGGCGGCGUGCUUAACACAUGCAAGUCGAACGGGCCUUGUCCCCUUUUUUUUUGGGGGUGGGGUUAGUGGCGAACGGGUGAGUAACACGUGAGUAACCUGCCCCUCACUUCUGGAUAACCGCUUGAAAGGGUGGCUAAUACGGGGUGUUCUGGCCUGCUCGCAUGGGUGGGUUUGGAAAGAUUCGACCGGUUUUGGUUGUUUUGGUGGGGGAUGGGCUCGCGGCCUAUCAGCUUGUUGGUGGGGUGAUGGCCUGCCAAGGCUUUGACGGGUAGCCGGCCUGAGAGGGUGGGCGGUCACACUGGGACUGAGACACGGCCCAGACUCCUACGGGAGGCAGCAGUGGGGAAUAUUGCACAAUGGGCGCAAGCCUGAUGCAGCGACGCCGCGUGAGGGAUGGAGGCCUUCGGGUUGUGAACCUCUUUCGCCAGUGAAGAAGGUCCUGCUCUUUGUGGUGGGGUUGACGGUAACUGGGUUAAUGAAGCGCCGGCUAACUACGU